This is a long non-coding RNA of Ochotona princeps (American pika), 612 nucleotides long. RefSeq lists it as uncharacterized. Lineage: Eukaryota; Metazoa; Chordata; Mammalia; Lagomorpha; Ochotonidae. The record is from RefSeq and is a predicted model, not a curated record. The transcript is spliced from 3 exons.
AAUUACUUCUGGUAGGUGUCAGAUAACAUGAAUGUGAAAGACAAGGAACAGAUCAGCAGAAGCAUGGUUAAGCGGGUGCUGAGAAAUGAGUACUAGUAGUAACUUCUGUCCCUUCAGUCACUGAAAGCAGAGGAAGAGAGAAAGAAGACAGAGACAGCCAAACAGACAGGUAUCUCCAAUCUGCUGCAUCCCUCUCCAAAGCCAACAGCCAGAAGCCAGAAACUCAAUCUGAGUCCAAUGUGAAUGGCAGGAAGCCAACUAGGAGUCAACAGGCUACACAUCAACAAGCAGAUGGAAUCAGAAACACAAUCGGGACUCCUGUACCAGAUGUACUUGAGGCUGCUGAGAACAACCCAAGUGCAAGUGACACUCUUGAACUUGACCUCAACGAAGUCAUGGUGCCACAUCUGACUUCUUCCAACUGCUGGCACGUGCUGCUCUGUACAGUCCUUCUUAAGUGUAAGCAAUCCCUAGCUCACGCCACUGAGUCUCUGACUGCAACUAAGGCCGUAGCAUCGGGGAUCUCCAACAGCCACAGAGCUCGGCCCUUUUUAUUUCCUAUGCAGAAUAAAUACUGCUUUCUCCUAAUUAAACUGAAAGCUAAUCCUUUGG